GAUGAACGCUGGCGGCGUGCCUAAUACAUGCAAGUCGAGCGAACAGACGAGGAGCUUGCUCCUCUGACGUUAGCGGCGGACGGGUGAGUAACACGUGGAUAACCUACCUAUAAGACUGGGAUCACUUCGGGAAACCGGAGCUAAUACCGGAUAAUAUCUUGAACCGCAUGGUUCAAUAGUGAAAUACGGUUUUGCUGUCUCUUAUCGCUGGAUCUGCGCCGCAUUAGCUAGUUGGUAAGGUAACGGCUUACCAAGGCGACGAUGCGUAGCCGACCGGAGGGGGGGAUCGGCCACACUAGAACUGAGACACGGUCCAGACGCCUACGGGACGCAGCAGUAGGGAAUCUUCCGCAAUGGGCGAAAGCCUGACGGAGCAACGCCGCGUGAGUGAUGAAGGUCUUCGGAUCGUAAAACUCUGUUAUUAGGGAAGAACAAAUGUGUAAGUAACUAUGCACGGCUUGACGGUACCUAAUCAGAAAGCCACGGCUAACUACGUG
This 497-nucleotide ribosomal RNA is filed under the name uncultured bacterium. RNAcentral's name for it is "partial 16S ribosomal RNA". It matches the Rfam family "Bacterial small subunit ribosomal RNA", at positions 28 to 507 of the family's 1533-position model. The record is from RNAcentral.